This 119-nucleotide ribosomal RNA is filed under the name Salmo salar (Atlantic salmon). The record is from RNAcentral. Lineage: Eukaryota; Metazoa; Chordata; Actinopteri; Salmoniformes; Salmonidae.
GCUUACGGCCAUACCAGCCUGGGUACGCCCGAUCUCGUCUGAUCUCGGAAGCUAAGCAAGGUCGGGCCUGGUUAGUACUUGGAUGGGAGACCACCUGGGAAUACCAAGUGCUGUAAGCA